This 333-nucleotide ribosomal RNA is filed under the name uncultured eukaryote. RNAcentral's name for it is "partial 18S ribosomal RNA". It matches the Rfam family "Eukaryotic small subunit ribosomal RNA", at positions 1470 to 1796 of the family's 1831-position model. The record is from RNAcentral.
CCCUUAGAUGUUCUGGGCCGCACGCGCGCUACACUGACGAAUUCAACGAGUUUACAACCUUGGCUGAUAAGCCCCGGGAAAUCUUUUAAAUGUUCGUCGUGAUGGGGAUAGAUGAUUGCAAUUUUUCAUCUUCAACGAGGAAUUCCUAGUAGACGCAAGUCAUCAGCUUGCAUCGAUUACGUCCCUGCCCUUUGUACACACCGCCCGUCGCACCUACCGAUUGAAUGGUCCGGUGAAAUCUUUGGACCUAGAGGCUUUCUGCUCCUUCUGGGGCAGGGGUUUUUGGGGAAGUUGAUUAAACCUUACCAUUUAGAGGAAGGUGAAGUCGUAACA